ACGCUGGCGGCACGCCUAACACAUGCAAGUCGAACGAAGUAGCAAUACUUAGUGGCAGACGGGUGAGUAACAUGUAGGUAUCUACCCUAUGGCCUGGAAUAACACGAGGAAACUUGUGCUAAUACUGGAUAAGUCUUUACGGAGAAAGCUUUAUGCACCAUUGGAUGAGCCUGCACUUGAUUAGUUUGUUGGUAGGGUAAUGGCCUACCAAGACUGUGAUCAAUAGCUGAUUUGAGAGGAUGAUCAGCCACAUUGGGACUGAGACACGGCCCAAACUCCUACGGGAGGCAGCAGUGGGGAAUCUUGCACAAUGGAGGAAACUCUGAUGCAGCGAUGCCGCGUGAGUGAAGAAGGCCCUUGGGUUGUAAAGCUCUUUCGUCGGGGAAGAAAAUGACUGUACCCGAAUAAGAAGGUCCGGCUAACUUCGUGCCAGCAGCCGCGGUAAUACGAAGGGACCUAGCGUAGUUCGGAAUUACUGGGCUUAAAGAGUUCGUAGGUGGUUGAAAAAGUUGGUGGUGAAAUCCCAGAGCUUAACUCUGGAACUGCCAUCAAAACUUUUCAGCUAGAGUAUGAUAGAGGAAAGCAGAAUUUCUAGUGUAGAGGUGAAAUUCGUAGAUAUUAGAAAGAAUACCAAUUGCGAAGGCAGCUUUCUGGAUCAUUACUGACACUGAGGAACGAAAGCAUGGGUAGCGAAGAGGAUUAGAUACCCUCGUAGUCCAUGCCGUAAACGAUGUGUGUUAGACGUUGGAAAUUUAUUUUCAGUGUCGCAGCGAAAGCGAUAAACACACCGCCUGGGGAGUACGACCGC
This 808-nucleotide ribosomal RNA is filed under the name uncultured Pelagibacteraceae bacterium. Its description in RNAcentral is "bacterial SSU rRNA". It matches the Rfam family "Bacterial small subunit ribosomal RNA", at positions 33 to 889 of the family's 1533-position model. The record is from RNAcentral. Lineage: Bacteria; Pseudomonadati; Pseudomonadota; Alphaproteobacteria; Candidatus Pelagibacterales; Candidatus Pelagibacteraceae.